UAGGGAAUCUUCCACAAUGGACGAAAGUCUGAUGGAGCAACGCCGCGUGAGUGAAGUAGGGUUUCGGCUCGUAAAACUCUGUUGUUAAAGAAGAACAUAUCUGAGAGUAACUGUUCAGGUAUUGACGGUAUUUAACCAGAAAGCCACGGCUAACUACGUGCCAC
This 164-nucleotide ribosomal RNA is filed under the name uncultured bacterium. RNAcentral's name for it is "partial 16S rRNA". It matches the Rfam family "Bacterial small subunit ribosomal RNA", at positions 355 to 511 of the family's 1533-position model. The record is from RNAcentral.